UAGGGAUGUAAACGGGUAGGGUACCCGCAAAAUUGAGAGUACCCAAAUUCGAACCCGAUUAUAUAUCCAAUUCCCGAACCCGUCCCAAAUCCGUUUAGUAUUUUAAUUAUAAAACCCGUAUCCGUUCCAUAUCCGUUUAACAAUACCCUAAGGAUACCCGAACCCGAUUUUUUUAAUUCAAUUCAAUGAUAAAAACUAUCAAAUAAUCUAUCAAAAAUUGUAAAUCAAAGAUUGN
Molecule: long non-coding RNA, 235 nt
Filed under: Manihot esculenta (cassava)
Lineage: Eukaryota; Viridiplantae; Streptophyta; Magnoliopsida; Malpighiales; Euphorbiaceae
Description: long non-coding RNA (MESC_LNC009509)
Source: RNAcentral